RNAcentral lists this non-coding RNA (115 nucleotides) under Streptomyces sp. The record is from RNAcentral. Lineage: Bacteria; Bacillati; Actinomycetota; Actinomycetes; Kitasatosporales; Streptomycetaceae.
AACCAGGAAGCCGGUGCGAAUCCGGCACGGUCCCGCCACUGUGACCGGGCCCCUCCCCGCGCGGACGACCCCCAGGGCGACGCCGCACCGGAAGGGGCCCGGAAGCCAGGAACUG